This 512-nucleotide ribosomal RNA is filed under the name uncultured bacterium. RNAcentral describes it as "bacterial SSU rRNA". It matches the Rfam family "Bacterial small subunit ribosomal RNA", at positions 791 to 1320 of the family's 1533-position model. The record is from RNAcentral.
UAGUCUACGCCGUAAACGAUGGAUACUAGCUGUGGGAGGAAUCGACCCCCUCCGUAGCGAAGCUAACGCGUUAAGUAUCCCGCCUGGGGAGUACGGUCGCAAGAUUAAAACUCAAAGGAAUUGACGGGGACCCGCACAAGCGGUGGAGCGUGUUCUUUAAUUGGAGGCUAAGCCAAGAACCUUACCAAGGCUUGACAUCCUCUGAAGUUUGCCGAAAGGCGAAUGUGCAUUUGAACAGAGUGACAGGUGCUGCAUGGCCGUCGUCAGCUCGUGUCGUGAGAUGUUAGGUUAAGUCCUUUAACGAGCGCAACCCCUGUGAUUAGUUGUAUUUCUAAUCAGACUGCCUCGGUAACGGGGAGGAAGGAGGGGAUGAUGUCAGGUCCUUAUUGCCCUUACGCCUUGGGCUAGAAACGCGCUACAAUGGCUGGUACAAAGGGUUGCCAAAUCGCGAGAUGGAGCCAAUCCCAUCAAAGCCAGUCUCAGUUCGGAUUGCAGGCUGAAAUUCGCCUGCA